This 253-nucleotide ribosomal RNA is filed under the name uncultured bacterium. Its description in RNAcentral is "partial 16S ribosomal RNA". It matches the Rfam family "Bacterial small subunit ribosomal RNA", at positions 524 to 776 of the family's 1533-position model. The record is from RNAcentral.
UACGUAGGGUGCAAGCGUUAAUCGGAAUUACUGGGCGUAAAGCGUGCGCAGGCGGUUGGGUCAGUCGCUGGUGAAAGCCCCACGCUCAACGUGGGAAUGGCCAACGAGACGGCCCGACUGGAGGCAGGGAGAGGCCGGUGGAAUUCUCGGUGUAGCGGUGAAAUGCGUAGAUAUCGAGAGGAACACCUGCGGCGAAGGCGGGUUGCUGGGCUGACACUGACGCUGAGGCGCGAAAGCCAGGGGAGCGAACGGG